This 253-nucleotide ribosomal RNA is filed under the name uncultured bacterium. RNAcentral describes it as "partial 16S ribosomal RNA". It matches the Rfam family "Bacterial small subunit ribosomal RNA", at positions 524 to 776 of the family's 1533-position model. The record is from RNAcentral.
UACGAAGGGGGCUAGCGUUGCUCGGAAUGACUGGGCGUAAAGGGCGCGUAGGCGGAUGGCACAGUCAGAUGUGAAAUUCCCGGGCUUAACCUGGGGGCUGCAUUUGAUACGUGUUGUCUAGAGUGAGGAAGAGGGUUGUGGAAUUCCCAGUGUAGAGGUGAAAUUCGUAGAUAUUGGGAAGAACACCGGUGGCGAAGGCGGCAACCUGGUCCUUGACUGACGCUGAGGCGCGAAGGCGUGGGGAGCAAACAGG